This 1369-nucleotide ribosomal RNA is filed under the name uncultured bacterium. RNAcentral's name for it is "bacterial SSU rRNA". It matches the Rfam family "Bacterial small subunit ribosomal RNA". The record is from RNAcentral.
AGAGUUUGAUCCUGGCUCAGAACGAACGCUGGCGGCGUGGAUAAGACAUGCAAGUCGAACGAGAGAAUUGCUAGCUUGCUAAUAAUUCUCUAGUGGCGCACGGGUGAGUAACACGUGAGUAACCUGCCCCCGAGAGCGGGAUAGCCCUGGGAAACUGGGAUUAAUACCGCAUAGUAUCGAAAGAUUAAAGCAGCAAUGCGCUUGGGGAUGGGCUCGCGGCCUAUUAGUUAGUUGGUGAGGUAACGGCUCACCAAGGCGAUGACGGGUAGCCGGUCUGAGAGGAUGUCCGGCCACACUGGAACUGAGACACGGUCCAGACACCUACGGGUGGCAGCAGUCGAGAAUCAUUCACAAUGGGGGAAACCCUGAUGGUGUGACGCCGCGUGGGGGAAUGAAGGUCUUCGGAUUGUAAACCCCUGUCAUGUGGGAGCAAAUUAAAAAGAUAGUACCACAAGAGGAAGAGACGGCUAACUCUGUGCCAGCAGCCGCGGUAAUACAGAGGUCUCAAGCGUUGUUCGGAAUCACUGGGCGUAAAGCGUGCGUAGGCUGUUUCGUAAGUCGUGUGUGAAAGGCGCGGGCUCAACCCGCGGACGGCACAUGAUACUGCGAGACUAGAGUAAUGGAGGGGGAACCGGAAUUCUCGGUGUAGCAGUGAAAUGCGUAGAUAUCGAGAGGAACACUCGUGGCGAAGGCGGGUUCCUGGACAUAACUGACGCUGAGGCACGAAGGCCAGGGGAGCGAAAGGGAUUAGAUACCCCUGUAGUCCUGGCAGUAAACGGUGCACGCUUGGUGUGCGGGGAAUCGACCCCCUGCGUGCCGGAGCUAACGCGUUAAGCGUGCCGCCUGGGGAGUACGGUCGCAAGAUUAAAACUCAAAGAAAUUGACGGGGACCCGCACAAGCGGUGGAGUAUGUGGCUUAAUUCGAUGCAACGCGAAGAACCUUACCUGGGCUUGACAUGUAAUGAACAACAUGUGAAAGCAUGCGACUCUUCGGAGGCGUUACACAGGUGCUGCAUGGCCGUCGUCAGCUCGUGUCGUGAGAUGUUUGGUUAAGUCCAGCAACGAGCGCAACCCCUGUUGCCAGUUACCAGCACGUGAAGGGGGGGACUCUGGCGAGACUGCCCAGAUCAACUGGGAGGAAGGUGGGGACGACGUCAGGUCAGUAUGGCCCUUAUGCCCAGGGCUGCACACGUACUACAAUGCCCAGUACAGAGGGGGCCGAAGCCGCGAGGCGGAGGAAAUCCUGAAAACUGGGCCCAGUUCGGACUGUAGGCUGCAACCCGCCUACACGAAGCCGGAAUCGCUAGUAAUGGCGCAUCAGCUACGGCGCCGUGAAUACGUUCCCGGGUCUUGCACUCACCGCCCGUCA